Molecule: ribosomal RNA, 523 nt
Filed under: uncultured bacterium
Lineage: Bacteria
Description: bacterial SSU rRNA
Rfam family: Bacterial small subunit ribosomal RNA
Source: RNAcentral
UAGUCUUAGCCGUAAACGAUGGGCACUAGGCAAUGGGCUUACCUAUGAGGUUCAUUGCCGUAGCUAAUGUGUUAAGUGCCCCGCCUGGGGAGUACGCUCGCAAGAGUAAAGCUCAAAGGAAUUGACGGGGGAUCACACAAGCGGUGGAGCAUGUUGUUUAAUUCGAAGCAACGCGAAGAACCUUACCAGGCCUUGACAUGCAUGGAUUAGCAACCCGAAAGGGUUGUGACGCCUCUUCGGAGGUGGAACAUGUGCAGGUGUUGCAUGGCUGUCGUCAGCUCGUGCCGUGAGGUGUUGGGUUAAGUCCCGUAACGAGCGAAACCCUUAUCUUUAGUUGCCAGCGGGUUAUGCCGGGGACUCUAGAGAGACUGCCGUUGUCAAAACGGAGGAAGGUGGGGACGACGUCAAGUCAUCAUGGCCCUUAUGGCCUGGGGCUACAAACGUGCUACAAUGGUCCGUACAAAGGGUUCCGAAGCCGCGAGGUGUAGGCAAUCCCAUCAAAGCGGGCCCCAGUUCGGAUUGC